This is a long non-coding RNA of Neopelma chrysocephalum (saffron-crested tyrant-manakin), 332 nucleotides long. RefSeq lists it as uncharacterized. The record is from RefSeq and is a predicted model, not a curated record. The transcript is spliced from 4 exons. Lineage: Eukaryota; Metazoa; Chordata; Aves; Passeriformes; Pipridae.
CGGGAUGGAUGCCCACGGAUCCCUGUUCCCGCAGGUUUACGGGAUCCUGCUGCUGCAGCUCCUGCUCACCACGGGGGUCGUGGCCUUGUUCACCUUCUGUGAUCCCGUCAAGAGCUACAUCCAGACCCACCCCGCCUGGUACUGGGCUUCCUACGGCGUUUUCUUCCUCACCUACCUGAUCCUGGCCUGCUGCUCCGGCCCCAGGAGACGCUUCCCAUGGAAUCUGAUCCUGCUCGGAAUCUUCGUGAGUGGCAAAAUCCGGGAACAUCCGGGGGGAUCCAUCCAAGGGCACACGGGGAAUUCCCGUGGAAAACGGGAAUCUCCACCUGGGA